Molecule: ribosomal RNA, 408 nt
Filed under: uncultured rumen bacterium
Lineage: Bacteria
Description: bacterial SSU rRNA
Rfam family: Bacterial small subunit ribosomal RNA
Source: RNAcentral
GUGGGGAAUAUUGGGCAAUGGGCGCAAGCCUGACCCAGCAACGCCGCGUGAGGGAAGAAGGUUUUCGGAUUGUAAACCUCUGUCCUAUGUGACGAAGGAAGUGACGGUAGCAUAGGAGGAAGCCCCGGCUAACUACGUGCCAGCAGCCGCGGUAAUACGUAGGGGGCGAGCGUUGUCCGGAAUUACUGGGCGUAAAGGGUGCGUAGGCGGCACGGUAAGUUGGAUGUGAAAUACCCGGGCUUAACUUGGGGGCUGCAUCCAAAACUGCUGAGCUUGAGUGCGGGAGAGGAAAGCGGAAUUCCUAGUGUAGCGGUAAAAUGCGUAGAUAUUAGGAGGAACACCGGUGGCGAAGGCGGCUUUCUGGACCGUAACUGACGCUGAGGCACGAAAGCGUGGGGAGCAAACAGG